Molecule: small nuclear RNA, 166 nt
Filed under: Aotus nancymaae (Ma's night monkey)
Lineage: Eukaryota; Metazoa; Chordata; Mammalia; Primates; Aotidae
Description: U1 spliceosomal RNA (ENSANAG00000020187.1)
Rfam family: U1 spliceosomal RNA
About the family: U1 is a small nuclear RNA (snRNA) component of the spliceosome (involved in pre-mRNA splicing). Its 5' end forms complementary base pairs with the 5' splice junction, thus defining the 5' donor site of an intron.
Source: Rfam by way of RNAcentral
ACCCUUCCACUUGGCAGGAGAGAUACAAUGAUCAUGAAGGUGGUUUUCCCAGGGUGAGGCUUAUCCAUUGCACUCCGGAUGUGCUGACCCCUGCGAUUUCCCCAAAUGUGGGAAACUCGACUGCAUAAUUUGUGGUAGUGGGGGACUGUGUUUGCGCUUUCCCCUG